This 447-nucleotide ribosomal RNA is filed under the name uncultured bacterium. RNAcentral's name for it is "partial 16S ribosomal RNA". It matches the Rfam family "Bacterial small subunit ribosomal RNA", at positions 29 to 523 of the family's 1533-position model. The record is from RNAcentral.
AACGAACGCUGGCGGCAGGCCUAACACAUGCAAGUCGAGCGCGUAGCAAUACGAGCGGCGCACGGGAUAGUAACGCGUGGGAACCUACCUUUCGGUUCGGAAUAAAAUCUGGAAACUGGUGCUAAUACCGGAUACGCCCUUCGGGGGAAAGAUUUAUUGCCGAUAGAUGGGCCCGCGUUGGAUUAGCUAGUUGGUGAGGUAACGGCUCACCAAGGCAAAGAUCCAUAGCUGGUCUGAGAGGAUGAUCAGCAUCACUGGGACUGAGACACGGCCCAGACUCCUACGGGAGGCAGCAGUGGGGAAUAUUGGACAAUGGGGGCAACCCUGAUCCAGCCAUGCCGCGUGAAUGAUGAAGGCCUUCGGGUUGUAAAGUUCUUUUGGUGGGGACGAUGAUGACGGUACCCACAGAAUAAGCUCCGGCUAACUUCGUGCCAGCCGCCGCCGUAA